RNA transcript from Capsella rubella, 1579 nucleotides. RefSeq lists it as uncharacterized. The transcript has 8 exons. NCBI's taxonomy places the organism in Eukaryota, Viridiplantae, Streptophyta, Magnoliopsida, Brassicales, Brassicaceae. The record is from RefSeq and is a predicted model, not a curated record.
CUUUCAAAAGCAAAGAAAUCUACACUUACCCACACCUAAAUCCGGUUCCGUUCCUUAAUUGCCGAGAAUCACGAUCGAUUUGCUUGUAGAUCCUUGAAGUUUUAUCUUCUGUUUGAAGCAGCUAGUUGGGUAUAAUUUCCAUUUCGACGAUUCCGCUUCACACAAUCGAUCGUUUCCCAAUAUCUAGAGGUGCAGCAGAACAUAAUAUCACAUAAUGAAGUGUCUUGUGUGUAUUGGCGCCAGGAAUGGAGCAUCUUCACUUGAACUCUCCAUGCCGUAUGGGCGGACGUCCUUGAGGAAAGCAAAGGUGGCCGCCAUUGAUGAGAUGGAAGUGAAAGCAAGUUUCAGUAAGCUGAAUGAUUGUUUGUGAGUGUGAUGGGUUUUUUUCGUUACAGAAGCUCACUAUUUAUAGUAGUUCGAUAAGUGUAUAAUUUAGUUUUGAUUUCAGUUGAAGAAUCAAGGUAGAAAUCGAAUAAAUAGCGUAAUUCCGGGGAUAUAUGGAUAGUAGUUGCGAUCCUUCCAUAAGUUGGGAAGCACAAUUUGCGUGAUUUAUGGGUUUUUGAUGAGAUUUUCUAAAUGAAGAUAUUGACAGAGAGAUAUGUAGAGAUCUUCGGUGAUGGCGGAGGUCACGCAGAGGUGACAAACAGUUGGGCUUAAUUUCUUUGGGCUUCGAUUUUUUUUGGGUUCUAAGUUUGUUUGCGAAUUUUUUCUUUUUUAAAGUUUUAAAAAAUAAAGCUAGUGGCAGAAGAUUGUAAAUAAGUGAGCAAAAUGAGGGUUUUUUCAUAAGUGUCUUUAAAAAUGUUAAAUUAAAUGGCUGCAAUAUCAAAUGUUCUGCCUCACAAAAAGGAUUUGGCAUAUUCGCCUCCACUCAACCAUCUGAUGUAAUAUUAUUGUCAAUGCCAAGAAGACUUACGAUAGAUUCACAUUUUUUUUCCUUUUUCUGGAAAAUAUAUGGAACAUUGAGUUUAUCACCUCUAUGUCUUGCUUGUUGUGCGCUUGGUUUGGCCAUUACCCCUAUGAGAGUUCUUUCAGGAGUAGUACCCUCUCGUCUCCCCAAAGUGUCAAAAAAUGUUCCCAGAAGGACAAGUUGAUGAUCGCUUGCUCAUGAUUUUGUUUCUCACUCUUCGAAUCAAUUCUUAGUGGAAGCUGUACCUUGAUAUGCUUCCUACUCGAUUCUGCAAUCCUCUUUGGUUUUCUGAUUCUGAGAUCCUUGAGCUCAAGGGGACAAACUUAUAUCAUGCAACUGAGUUACAGAAGAAGAAGUUGAUGUCGCUUUACCAUGGGAAGGUGGAGGCCCUGGUGAAAAAGCUCUUACUUUUGGAUGGUGAUUCCGAAAGGUUAACAUACGUAACAUAUUUACAAAUUGCUGUUCAUUGGUGCUUGAACCAAUCAUAUUUUGUUUAGUCUUUGGUGCAGCGAGGUCUCCUUUGAACAUUUCCUCUGGGCAAAUUCUGUAUUCUGGAGUCGUGCCUUGAACAUUCCUCUUCCACAUUCUUUUGUGUUUCCACAAAGCCAGGAAGAUGACCCAUCAACAAGUCAUACACCUGAAACGGACCCAGUUAAUUCAAAUGGGGGAAAA